This is a long non-coding RNA of Esox lucius (northern pike), 661 nucleotides long. NCBI's taxonomy places the organism in Eukaryota, Metazoa, Chordata, Actinopteri, Esociformes, Esocidae. The record is from Ensembl.
CAGCAACGGGCCCCCCAAACCAGGUAAUCCGCAGGUGUGGACCAGGACCUGAUCUCCUCCUAAAAUUUAAAACUGGAGGAGACUGAGAAAAGUUAGUAGUACAUCCCUCAUAUCCCCCAGCACAAUAAUAUAGCAGCGUAACACCUUGGAACUGAGACGGGGGGGUCCGGUGACACUGUGGCCCUACCCGGAGGAGGCCCUGGACAGGGCCCAACAGGCAGGAAAUCAAUCCAACUACAUUGCCAGGCAUCAACCAAAGGGACACCCACCAACCGCAACCCCCCUGAAUGAGGGCAGAGUAUUGCUAGCAGCGUACAGCCCAAUUGCACAAGUGCGCAACAGAGAAACAACAACAAGCCAGUGACUCUUCCCCCAAAAGGCAUUGGAGGGAGGGCAUCCCAGUGGUGACGAGAGCCCACCUGGCAAGACAGCAAGGGUGGACAGUAUCAAGACUACUGGUCACCUUCACGCCCCUGCAUCUUGCGAUCUAAGGUUACGUGUAGAUAAAUGGGAGACCGCUCGUGUGUAUCGCCAGAGGUGUGAGAAUGGUUCCAGCGUGGAAACAACAGAUGACGAGGCGUCAAAAAAGAGGAGAACAUUUGGAGAAGAUCAGGCAGCUGACUGAAGCGAAUGUUGAGCUGAGGGCACAGCUGGCUCUACA